GGUCAUGCUAUUGGGAUUCGACUAAGCCAUGCGAGUCGAGAGGGUUCGGCCCUCGGCUGACGGCUCAGUAACACGUGGAUAAUCUGCCCUUAGGUGGAGGAUAAUCUCGGGAAACUGAGAAUAAUACUCCAUAGAUCUAGGAUGCUGGAAUGCACAUUAGAUUGAAAGCCCCGGCGCCUAAGGAUGAGUCUGCGGACUAUCAGGUAGUAGUCAGGGUAAAGACCUGACUAGCCUACGACGGAUACGGGUUGUGAGAGCAAUAACCCGGAGACGAUAUCUGAGACACGGUAUCGGGCCCUACGGGGCGCAGCAGGCGCGAAAACUUCACACUGUGCGAAAGCACGAUGAGGGAAUCCCAAGUGCCAACUCGUAAGAGUUGGCUGUUUCUCUGUCUAAAAAUAGAGAGAGUAAGAGCUGGGUAAGACGGGUGCCAGCCGCCGCGGUAAUACCUGCAGCUCAAGUGGUGGCCACUAUUAUUGGGCCUAAAACAUCCGUAGCCGGUUUAAUAAAUGUCGGGGUAAAUCGUGUAGCUUAACUAUACGAAUUCCGGGUAGACUGUUAGACUUGAGACCGGGAGAAGCUAGAGGUACUCCUGGGGUAGAGGUGAAAUUCUGUAAUCCUAGGGGGACCACCAGUGGCGAAGGCGUCUAGCUAGAACGGGUCUGACGGUGAGGGGCGAAGCCCCGGGGCGCAAACCGGAUUAGAUACCCGGGUAGUCCAGGGUGUAAACGCUGCUUGCUUGAUGUUAGUUGAGCUCCGAGCCCAAUUAGUGUCGGAGAGAAGUUGUUAAGCAAGCUGCCUGGGAAGUACGGCCGCAAGACUGAAACUUAAAGGAUUGGGCGGGGGGGCACAGCAACGGGUGGAGCGUGUGGUUU
RNAcentral lists this ribosomal RNA (875 nucleotides) under uncultured archaeon. RNAcentral's name for it is "bacterial SSU rRNA". It matches the Rfam family "Archaeal small subunit ribosomal RNA", at positions 21 to 903 of the family's 1478-position model. The record is from RNAcentral.